GAUGAAGAACGUAGCGAAAUGCGAUAAGUAAUGUGAAUUGCAGAAUUCAGUGAAUCAUUGAAUCUUUGAACGCACAUUGCGCCCGCCAGUAUUCUGGCGGGCAUGCCUGUUCGAGCGUCAUUUCAACCAUCAAGCCCCAGGCUUGUGUUGGGGACCUGCGGCUGCCGCAGGCCCUGAAAACCAGUGGCGGGCUCGCUGUCACACCGGGCGUAGUAGAUUUUAUCUCGCUCAGGGCGUGCUGCGGGUUCCGGCCGUUAAAAAGCCUUUUUUACCCAAGGUUGACCUCGGAUCAGGUAGGAAGACCCGCUGAACUUAAGCAUAUCAAUAAGCGGAGGA
This 336-nucleotide unclassified non-coding RNA is filed under the name soil metagenome. RNAcentral describes it as "partial contains 5.8S ribosomal RNA, internal transcribed spacer 2, and large subunit ribosomal RNA". The stretch from base 1 to 120 matches the Rfam family "5.8S ribosomal RNA", at positions 35 to 154 of the family's 154-position model. The record is from RNAcentral.